GCUCGUGUAGCUCAGUGGUUAGAGCUUCGUGCUUAUAGUGGCAUUCGGAUUUCCGAAGCUCACUGUGCAGAUAGCACAGCGAUGCGCCUUCGGGCGAAAAGCAACGCGACCGUCGUGGGUUCGAACCCCACCUCGAGCA
RNAcentral lists this transfer RNA (139 nucleotides) under Eremothecium gossypii ATCC 10895. RNAcentral describes it as "Ashbya gossypii ATCC 10895 tRNA". It matches the Rfam family "tRNA". From Rfam's summary of the family: Transfer RNA (tRNA) molecules are approximately 80 nucleotides in length. Lineage: Eukaryota; Fungi; Ascomycota; Saccharomycetes; Saccharomycetales; Saccharomycetaceae. The record is from Rfam by way of RNAcentral.